This 376-nucleotide ribosomal RNA is filed under the name uncultured bacterium. RNAcentral's name for it is "bacterial SSU rRNA". It matches the Rfam family "Bacterial small subunit ribosomal RNA", at positions 521 to 896 of the family's 1533-position model. The record is from RNAcentral.
UAAUACGGGGGGUGCGAGCGUUGUCCGGAUUCACUGGGCGUAAAGGGCGCGUAGGCGGCCGCAUCAGUCCGACUUUUAAGAGCGGGGCUCACCCCCGUGGGGGGUCGGGGACGGUGCGGCUGGGGCGCGGCAGAGGGGUGCGGAAUGCCGGGUGUAGUGGUGAAAUGCGUAGAGAUCCGGCGGAACACCGGUGGUGGAAGCGGCACCCUGGGCCGAGGCCGACGCUGAGGCGCGAGAGCGUGGGGAGCGAACCGGAUUAGAUACCCGGGUAGUCCACGCCGUAAACGGUGGGCACUAGGUGUGGCGGGUAUCGACCCCCGCCGUGCCGUCGCAAACGCAUGGAGUGCCCCGCCUGGGGAGUACGGCCGCAAGGCUA